RNAcentral lists this ribosomal RNA (1297 nucleotides) under metagenome. RNAcentral's name for it is "bacterial LSU rRNA". It matches the Rfam family "Bacterial large subunit ribosomal RNA", at positions 1647 to 2925 of the family's 2925-position model. The record is from RNAcentral.
GCCGAAACCGACACAGGUGGUCAGGUCGAGUAGACCAAAGCGCUUGAGAGAACUCUGCUGAAGGAACUAGGCAAAAUGGUACCGUAACUUCGGGAGAAGGUACGCUGCCGGCGGUGAUAACCCUCGCGGUUUGAGCGGCUGGCAGCCACAGAAACCAGGCCCCUGCAACUGUUUAUUAAAAACAUAGCACUCUGCAAACACGAAAGUGGACGUAUAGGGUGUGAUGCCUGCCCGGUGCUGGAAGGUUAAUUGAUGGGGUUAGCGUAAGAGAAGCUCUUGAUCGAAGCCCCAGUAAACGGCGGCCGUAACGAUAACGGUCCUAAGGUAGCGAAAUUCCUUGUCGGGUAAGUUCCGACCUGCACGAAUGGCAUAAUGAUGGGGGCGCUGUCUCCAGCAGAGGCUCAGUGAAAUCGAAAUCGCCGUGAAGAUGCGGUGUACCCGCGGCUAGACGGAAAGACCCCGUGAACCUUUACUGCAGCUUGACAUUGAACUUUGAUCCUACUUGUGUAGGAUAGGUGGGAGGCUUUGAAACCGCGACGCUAGUUGCGGUGGAGCCAAUCUUGAAAUACCACCCUGGUAAUAUUGAGGUUCUAACUCUGCUCCAUAAUCUGGAGCGAGGACCAUGUCUGGUGGGUAGUUUGACUGGGGCGGUCUCCUCCUAAAGAGUAACGGAGGAGUACGAAGGUGCGCUCAGCGUGGUCGGAAAUCACGCGUAGAGUAUAAAGGCAAAAGCGCGCUUAACUGCGAGACCCACAAGUCGAGCAGGUACGAAAGUAGGUCUUAGUGAUCCGGUGGUUCUGUAUGGAAGGGCCAUCGCUCAACGGAUAAAAGGUACUCUGGGGAUAACAGGCUGAUACCGCCCAAGAGUUCAUAUCGACGGCGGUGUUUGGCACCUCGAUGUCGGCUCAUCUCAUCCUGGGGCUGAAGCAGGUCCCAAGGGUAUGGCUGUUCGCCAUUUAAAGAGGUACGCGAGCUGGGUUUAGAACGUCGUGAGACAGUUCGGUCCCUAUCUACCGUGGGCGCUGGAAAUUUGAGAGGAUCUGCUCCUAGUACGAGAGGACCAGAGUGGACGAACCUCUGGUGUACCGGUUGUGACGCCAGUCGCAUCGCCGGGUAGCUAUGUUCGGAAGGGAUAACCGCUGAAAGCAUCUAAGCGGGAAGCCUACCUCAAGAUAAGAUUUCCCUAGGACUUUAUGUCCUCUAAAGAGUCGUUGAAGACUACGACGUUGAUAGGCUGGAUGUGGAAGUGCGGUGACGCAUGAAGCUGACCAGUACUAAUUGCUCGUGAGGCUUGACC